CUUUUCUUGAUAAAAAAUUCUUAGUUUUUUUUUAAUUUUUAAAAAACAUAGGACCAAGAAUCUACUUCUUGCUUUAUAAAAAAGGAAUAGGAUUUCUCAAUUGAUGUGAGACCCUCAUCUCCGUCCAUAUAUGGUAAAGCGUAGAGUCAUGGCUGAAUAAAGGUGAUGGGACUCCUAUUCAACAAGGAUUGGGAGGCAUAUCGGUCCUGAGAUGGUCGCCUACUGGAGAUUACUUUUUUGCAGCUAAGUUGUACUCCUGAUGGAACAUUUUAUUUGUGGGAGACUGGGACUUGAACAUCACAACCAUGGUCUUCAAGUAGUGGUUUUGUUACAAGACAUGAAGGAUGGAAGGAAAGUUUCAAAACUCCUCCCGUGAAAAGCAUUGUCCGCACCAAACAUCUUCUUAUCAAGCUUGGACGACAUCAUCUCUCUCGGAGUGCAAUGUUGAUCUUAUAGUGAUUUCGUUGCCUUAAACAGUCGGAUGAUGUCGCCGAAUAAUGAGUGCUUUCAUAUAUCAUUUUCACAUAUUUUUGCUUGUUUUGUCUAACAUGCUCAAUAUGUAUACACAUUUUGGCUUGUUGAAUGUGUUUCCGAUUUGUCUGUGGCACCUUCUUUACGUAUUCCUAAGUGGUUUUGUCUUAAAUAUUAUGUGCAAAUCCUAAUU
Spinacia oleracea (spinach) is the source of this 664-nucleotide long non-coding RNA. RefSeq lists it as uncharacterized. The transcript has 4 exons. Lineage: Eukaryota; Viridiplantae; Streptophyta; Magnoliopsida; Caryophyllales; Amaranthaceae. The record is from RefSeq and is a predicted model, not a curated record.